GUCUUCUUUACCACCUGGCAAUAGGAGCCAAGGGGCUAUGGAACUCCAAAAAGAAUCAGACAGAGAUUUCACAGCACAUGGUGGUCACAACAGCCUGAAGAACCAGCAAGAAAGAAAAACAGCUGAAAGCAAAAGGGAUAGAAAAACAGAGAUCUGUGAUAUUUAGAAGCCUGGGCUGUUCAGAUGCAAUGUUCAGAAGCAAUCUGAAUGUUGCAGAAAAGGAGAGCUAGCAGUAAAGUGACAGAGGAUACCGCAGAUCUGCAGACUGGCCAAACGAGAUGGGAAGGAAAGUGCUGGGGUGCAGUGGGUGUGCUACGACGUUAAUAUUCAGUUCUGCUGCAUCUAAACAGCUGUUGAAGGAAUAAGGUUUCUGUGUGAGUGCAACAGACAUAUUCCACAGUGACCUGUGCUACUCAAAGUUUCUGGAAAGGGGGACCCCUGUGCUACAUCCUCCACCCCCACUCUCCCAGCCACAGAUGACUAGUUCUGAGAUGAGCACCUGCCUCAGAGACAACGAUUCUUGCUUGCCCCUGACUUAUAAUUUGGUGACUCUGCUCUAAAAGCUGAGCUGAGCCAAUCUGUCUUUUGCCCUUGAGAAUUUGACAGGGACAGUUGCACAUUAUUGGUGGACACUAGAGUUGAUGUCAGGGCAAAUGGCCAUAUUGGAGCAAACAAACAAAUCUUCAGAAUAAAUGAACAGAGAAAGGGGAAGAGGAAGCAAGAGAAAAGGGGAGAGAAGAAGAAGAGGGUUCAGAUGCAAGUAACAACACACAAAUGAGAGACUCUGUGGUCUCUAAAAGAAGAACAAUGUGGCUCUGGUUUCUAGCAUGCUAGUUCUAGGUUUCCUGAGG
Molecule: long non-coding RNA, 851 nt
Filed under: Homo sapiens (human)
Lineage: Eukaryota; Metazoa; Chordata; Mammalia; Primates; Hominidae
Description: HSALNT0091238
Source: RNAcentral